RNAcentral lists this ribosomal RNA (460 nucleotides) under uncultured bacterium. RNAcentral's name for it is "partial 16S ribosomal RNA". It matches the Rfam family "Bacterial small subunit ribosomal RNA", at positions 338 to 795 of the family's 1533-position model. The record is from RNAcentral.
CCUACGGGGGACAGCAGUGAGGAAUAUUGGUCAAUGGGCGUAAGCCUGAACCAGCCAAGUCGCGUGAGGGAUGAAGGUUCUAUGGAUCGUAAACCUCUUUUAUAAGGGAAUAAAGUGUGGGACGUGUCCUAUUUUGUAUGUACCUUAUGAAUAAGGAUCGGCUAACUCCGUGCCAACAGCCGCGGUAAUACGGAGGAUCCGAGCGUUAUCCGGAUUUAUUGGGUUUAAAGGGUGCGUAGGCGGCCUUUUAAGUCAACGGUGAAAGUCUGUGGCUCAACCAUAGAAUUGCCGUGGAAACUGGGGAGCUUGAGUAUGUUUGAGGCAGGCGGAAUGCGAGGUGUAGCGGUGAAAUGCUUAGAUAUAACGCAGAACCCCGAUUGCGAAGGCAGCCUGCCAAGCCAUGACUGACGCUGAUGCACGAAAGCGUGGGGAUCAAACAGGAUUAGAGACCCGGGUAGUC